RNAcentral lists this ribosomal RNA (253 nucleotides) under uncultured bacterium. RNAcentral's name for it is "partial 16S ribosomal RNA". It matches the Rfam family "Bacterial small subunit ribosomal RNA", at positions 524 to 776 of the family's 1533-position model. The record is from RNAcentral.
UACAGAGGUGGCAAGCGUUGUUCGGAAUUACUGGGCGUAAAGGGCGCGUAGGCGGCCAUCUAAGUCAGACGUGAAAUCCCCCGGCUUAACCUGGGAACUGCAUUUGUGACUGCAUGGCUAGAGUUUGUCAGAGGGGGGUGGAAUUCCACGUGUAGCAGUGAAAUGCGUAGAUAUGUGGAGGAACACCGAUGGCGAAGGCAGCCCCCUGGGAUGUGACUGACGCUCAUGUACGAAAGCGUGGGGAGCAAACAGG